This 219-nucleotide long non-coding RNA is filed under the name Bos taurus (domestic cattle). RNAcentral describes it as "long non-coding RNA NONBTAT011777". The record is from RNAcentral. Lineage: Eukaryota; Metazoa; Chordata; Mammalia; Artiodactyla; Bovidae.
CCAUCUUAAUUAGGUUCACUGAGGAGAAUUGCACUGUUACAAAUAUAAGGAUUAUGAGAAUUACUUUGAGCAACAUCCAUAACAGUGAAAAUGCUUUACUAUGUAAUUGCUAGUGUUCUGUAUUAAAAGCAACAUUGUUGGCUCUUCUUUCCUAGAACAUAUAGUUGAAAGCUUCUGUUUUGAAUCAUUAGGAAAAAGUAAUAUAUUGUUCUGUUACUA